UCCUACGGGGGGCAGCAGUAGGGAAUUUUCGUCAAUGGGCGCAAGCCUGAACGAGCAAUGCCGCGUGAACGAGGAAGGUCUUCGGAUCGUAAAGUUCUGUUGAAGGGGAAAAAGAGCGGAGAGAGGAAAUGGUCUCCGAUUGAUAUUACCCUUCGAGGAAGUCACGGCUAACUACGUGCCAGCAGCCGCGGUAAUACGUAGGUGGCGAGCAUUAUCCGGAAUGAUUGGGCGUAAAGGGUGCGUAGGCGGCCUGCUAAGUCUGGAGUGAAAGGUACCGGCUCAACCGGUACAGGCUCUGGAAACUG
Molecule: ribosomal RNA, 305 nt
Filed under: uncultured bacterium
Lineage: Bacteria
Description: bacterial SSU rRNA
Rfam family: Bacterial small subunit ribosomal RNA
Source: RNAcentral